Molecule: long non-coding RNA, 647 nt
Filed under: Vigna radiata
Lineage: Eukaryota; Viridiplantae; Streptophyta; Magnoliopsida; Fabales; Fabaceae
Description: long non-coding RNA (VRAD_LNC017757)
Source: RNAcentral
GCCAAAAAGCUUCAAGAAGAGUAUUCUCCAAAAGGUCAAGUACUCUUUUUUAUCUUUGGAUGGGAAAUAGGAGAUCAAGGAGACACUACAAAGUUGCCAAAGCAUGGAGAAGGGUAAGAUGGUCCUUGCUACAAAAGGAGAGGUGUUCUUAUCAAAAUAUGGGGCUGCAUUAGAAACUUCUCUUUCACAUUCAGAUUGUAGCAUUUACACGUGAUAGAAUAAGCUUUCUAGAAGAGCAUCACAUUUUGCACAUGGUUGUACACGUGGAGGUAGAUCCACAUUUCUUGGAGUCACAUUUUUUUGCUUGCAUUGCCGAGAGGUUAGUCUAUAAAACCUCUAAGGCAGCCAUUGUAAUACACUUUGGAUUAUAUGAGAAAUUUCUUCAAUCUGAAAUUCAUCUCUACCAAGCAAAUGCUUACCAAAGUCACCUUUUCCAUCAACACUCUCCCACCUCUUAGCUUUCUUCCAACAAUGGAAGCUGCCUGAAGCUAGGACCACUUCAUUCCUUCUCUGCCGCAACCAACAUCCACUCAAAUUCCAUCCAUAUCCGCUGCCACCUGUUGUAAUUCCCUUUCUUCUCGGGUUCUGUCUUCAACCGAGCAAUGGAGAGCUAUAUCACUUCCUCGUUCGUGCGAAUUAAAAUAAUA